CCUACGUGAGGCUGCAGUGAGGAAGAUUGGUCAAUGGACGGAAGUCUGAACCAGCCAUGCCGCGUGCAGGAAGACGGCUCUAUGAGUUGUAAACUGCUGUUGUACAAGGGUAAACCUGAAUACGUGUAGUCAGCUGAAAGUACUGUACGAAUAAGGAUCGGCUAACGCCGUGCCAGCAGCCGCGGGAAUACGGAGGAUCCAAGCGUUAUCCGGAUUUAUUGGGUUUACAGGGGGCGUAGGCGGAUUGAUAAGUUAGAGGGGAAAUGUCCGAGCUGAACUCGGGAUCUGCCUCUAAUACUGUUGAUCUAGAGCGUAGCUGCGGUAGGCGGCAUGUCUGUUGUAGCGGUGCACUGCU
Molecule: ribosomal RNA, 355 nt
Filed under: uncultured bacterium
Lineage: Bacteria
Description: partial 16S ribosomal RNA
Rfam family: Bacterial small subunit ribosomal RNA
Source: RNAcentral